Long non-coding RNA from Xiphophorus couchianus (Monterrey platyfish), 1425 nucleotides. RefSeq lists it as uncharacterized. The record is from RefSeq and is a predicted model, not a curated record. NCBI's taxonomy places the organism in Eukaryota, Metazoa, Chordata, Actinopteri, Cyprinodontiformes, Poeciliidae. The transcript is spliced from 2 exons.
GUUCAUAUUGAAGCUACUCUCAGCAGCCGUCGUGUACCGCGUUUUAAACGUGUUAUUGUUUAAGAAGCUGCUGACGGUGGAGCAGGGCGCAAACUUGAGUUUUUCAAAGUGCGCAACUGGUGAACAAGCUCUGUCAGCAGGGAGGUCAGGGUGUGUUCCCUCGUGCACAAUGAAUAUGGUUUAUUCAUGUUUUAAAUGAGUGAAUAUCGGUCUCUUUUUGCCGGCAGCACUCUGACAGAGGAACUUCACCUAGCACGAACUUUCUCUACAUGCACGUGCUGGUUGUAGAUGUGGGUUGUUAUGACUUUGCGACAACAUGGGUGCGUGGACUGCGCCCCACGGAGCGGGGAAGCCGAGAGAAAAGGCGAUUCAGCCUACAGGGAAAGUCCCGAGUUUCCUCACUCUCUCUUCAUUGUCGGUCUCUAUGGUGUAUGUUUAAUCUAUUUUUUUUUUCUUUGUUGCAACUGUUAUCCUUGCAGUAGAUCUUGCAUUUAUUUGGAAUCCUCUCUGCCAAUGGCUGACUGGAUUUGGUGAAUGCAGUGUGAUGAUGUGGGGGUCAGUAUAUGUGCCUUUCUGGAUGUACAAGUUUUGCCCUCAUGUGAAACAACCUCAGUGCAGAUGUGGAGAUGUGAUCCUGUAAGCUGUCUCAAUAACAUAAAGGAGCAGAGACCAAGUUGGUCAACACACGUGUUCCAGUGUGACCAAACAAAACUACAUUUGCUGAUUUAUUACUAAUCCCGGUUGAGGAAUAAAAUGGCAUCCGUCAGUAAUGUGUCACCAAGCUGAUGAUCAGCAGGAUCAUCAUCUGCUGCAGUUGUUCGCUUCACUGACAUUCUGCUAAGGUUCCUGUUUGCUAAGUGAAUAAAUUCAGUAAACCAACAUGUGUUGUAUCUUUAAACUUCAAUCAUCCAAUCAUGUAAAUGUUUCCCAGUCAUGAGCAGAAUAUGCUGUUUAACAUUGGUAGAGUGGGUUUGGCAAGCUGUUCACGCCACAACUAACAAAGCCUUUAAACAUGGCAACAUUUGAAGGUAGAUUAAUAUAACAUAUUGUUUUUGGGAGACAUAAAUUCUCAUUCAAGCGGUAGGCAGUUAUGCCCCCAUCAGGCUUUUACUGGCCUUUGCUGAUUUCUGGUUUUCUGUGAGGUCUGACCUGUUAGUCUGGAUUUUAAUCAAACCCUGUUUUCUCUCCAAGUACCACAAAGCAAACAGAUUCAUUUGUGUUAACUUUAUUUUAUUUUACCAAUUAAAUGUAACAAACUUUGGCUCCAAAAUAAGGAGUCUGGUUCUACUACAACUUGCUUGAUUUUUUUUUCUUCUAUUUUGGUGAAUCCAGCAGGAAGUUCCAUGUUUACAUAUAUACAGUAUAUCCCCAUUAUCCCCACCAAAGUGUAUCCCGGAAAUCCAUUGGCUGAUUCCUGAGCAAAAU